AUUUCAAUCUGAUACUCUUGAUUUUAAUCAGAUGUCUGAAUAUAUAAAUAGGAGAAGUUCAGUGCCUGGAAAAAUACCAUCUGGACUGUUUAAUUCAAUGUUUGGAUUUGAGAGUGGUUCAUGGGCUAAUGAUGCAGCAAAUACAAAGUAUUUGGGGCUUGAUGGUUAUUUCAUCAUAUUAUUUGAUGUUCAUAUUGAUAGAUAUUCACUUGUUUUGGAUAAUCAAGUUGUUAAUGAUGUUCCUUCCACUUGGGAUCCUGCAGCACUUGCAAGGUUUAUUGAAAAAUAUGGUACACACAUAAUAGUGGGGUUAAGUAUUGGAGGACAAGAUGUGGUCCUAGUGAGGCAAGACAAAUUAUCAAACAUGGAACCAUCACAACUCAAGAACCACUUGGAUGAACUUGGUGAUCAAUUAUUCACUGGCAUUUGCAACUAUUGUCCACAACAAUUCAAAUCAAGAGAACAAAAACAUAAGGCAUUCAAUAUUUUUGAUCCACAACCCAACAUCUUUAGCAGCUUUCCAUCAGCAACAACCAAAAAUGGUGUAACUGUGAUAUGUUCAAAAAGAGGUGGAGAUUUAACAGCAAAUACACAUAGUGAAUGGCUUCUAACAGUGCCUUCAAUGCCAGAUGCUAUUGCCUUUAACUUCAUUCCUAUUACUUCACUUCUCAAAGGUGUUCCUGGCAAGGGCUUUUUAUCACAUGCUAUCAACCUUUAUCUUAGAUAUAAGCCACCCAUAGCAGAUUUGCAAUAUUUUCUGGAUUUUCAAGCCCACAAAAUUUGGGCUCCUAUUCACAAUGAUCUUCCUUUAGGCCCAACUACAAAUAGGUCCAUUAGACCUCCAGCCAUUCAUUUCAAUUUGAUGGGCCCAAAGCUAUAUGUAAACCCAACUCAGGUAAUAGUUGGGAAGACACCUGUAACUGGAAUACGACUUUAUCUUGAAGGAGUAAAGUGUGAUAGGCUGGCCAUACAUUUACAACACUUGAUAAACACUCCAGUACUCCUACAAGACAAAAUAGACGAUCCGCUGACGUGGCGCGGGUCCGAAGACACACCCGACCAUCGAUAUUUCGAACCCAUCCAGUGGAAAAAAUUCUCACACGUAUGCACGGCUCCUGUAAAGUACGAUCCGAAUUGGGCACCAUACGAAAAUGGCUUUAGUUUCAUCGUUACGGGUGCUCAACUCCACGUUAAAAAACACGAUACAAAGAGUGUCUUACAUCUCAGAUUGUUAUAUUCUAAAGUUUCUAACUCAUGUAUCGUGCAGUCUCAGUGGAUGCAAUGUGCCUUUGAGAGUUGCACGAAAUCAUCAUCGGGUUUUUUAUCAGCUAUUAGUGGUGCAUCCUCGAUUCCCGGGUUUUUAUCCGAAAAACCGGUGGUGGUGGACUCGGGUGUGUACCCGACGGGCCCACCGGUGCCGGUGCAUACCCAAAAGCUACUUAAAUUUGUGGAUACAACACAAUUGUGUAGAGGCCCAUUGGAUAGUCCAGGUCAUUGGUUGGUUACCG
RNAcentral lists this unclassified non-coding RNA (1508 nucleotides) under Hevea brasiliensis (rubber tree). The record is from RNAcentral. Lineage: Eukaryota; Viridiplantae; Streptophyta; Magnoliopsida; Malpighiales; Euphorbiaceae.